Molecule: long non-coding RNA, 707 nt
Organism: Durio zibethinus
Lineage: Eukaryota; Viridiplantae; Streptophyta; Magnoliopsida; Malvales; Malvaceae
Source: RefSeq, a predicted model, not a curated record
UCUCUUAGCAAAUUUUUUAAGGGUAGGCUUAACUGCUGAUGAUUGGCAGAGACGAAGAAGAAAUGAAGAAUUUUAAGGGUGCAAGACAACAAACUGGGUUCGAAAAAGUUUCCCAGAAGAAGCAUCGCAGGUCAAGGAAACCCAAGUUUGAGCUUAUCAAACCAAAGAAAGUUUACGAUAACAAGAAAAAGGAUAAGAAAAAGAACCAGAUGGAGAUCACCCAGAUCGCCAAGCUAGGGCUGGAAGAGUUUCCGAUCAUGUUUUCUGAAAUUAGGGAAAGGAACCGCCUGCUGGAAGAGCUGAACUCUAAGAUCAACCGUUACAUUCUUGAUAAGCUUUCUACUUGGGAUGCCGAAGACAAAUAAAGGCUUUUGAUCAUUUGAUCCAUCUGGGAUCUUAUCUACCGAGCUGCUUCGGUUGAAUAAAGAGAAGAGAAGAGCAAGCAUCUUGGAUUGCCUACUGUUUCUUUAUGUAUGCAUGAAUCUACUUAUCUAUCUAUCUAUCAAGAACUGAAUUGGUGUGUUUUAUCUUGGAUUGCUUACUGUUUCUAUAUGUAUGCAUGAAUCUACCUACCUACCUACCUAUCUAUCUAUCAAGAACUGAAUUGGUGUGUUUCAUCUUGGAUUGCUUACUGUUUCUAUAUGUAUGCAUGAAUCUACCUACCUACCUUUCUAUCUAUCAAGAACUGAAUUGGUGUGUUUUGGGAA